This is a small nucleolar RNA of Lactuca sativa (garden lettuce), 107 nucleotides long. NCBI's taxonomy places the organism in Eukaryota, Viridiplantae, Streptophyta, Magnoliopsida, Asterales, Asteraceae. The record is from RefSeq and is a predicted model, not a curated record.
AGAUCGUGUUGUGGACAAUUCCUAAGCAUGCCUUUAUACCUCCCCCAUGCUUCAAAUAAAGACUCGCCAUCAUUAUGUUGGAAAUUUUCUAUCUUCUUCUUGAGAUU